Non-coding RNA from Hydra vulgaris (swiftwater hydra), 1239 nucleotides. The record is from RefSeq and is a predicted model, not a curated record. Lineage: Eukaryota; Metazoa; Cnidaria; Hydrozoa; Anthoathecata; Hydridae.
GUAUGGCAGAAAAAUAAAUUACGAAUUGUCUUAGAUAAAUAAAGUUACCGGACCUUUAUUACUUAAUCCAUAAACAAUUAUUGUUUCAUUCGAUUUAACACCACAAUAAAAAACAAAGCUUUUUCUAUUUAUUUUCGAAAAACGUUUUACAGGAAACCGAGUUCUUUUGUAGCAUUUUAGUUAGAGUUAUAGAAAAAUCUAUAACUCUUAUUUUGUUAAGUAAAAAAAAAAUCUUAUGCUCUUCUAAUUUUAGUCACCAAUAACAACUAUGUUAGGAAUAGUAGAAAAUGUUAUGUGUGGUAGAGAAACUGUUUUAGUGUGGUGUUGUAGGAGUACUGCGGGUCUAAGAAACUUUGUUUUCAUCGAUAAAUUAUUCUAUUGGUCUAUUAAAACAGUAUGAAAACUUUCCAGUAUUUAUAUUUGAUGUCUUUUUUUCAUUUUAUUUUAUAAUUGUAAUUUAAGUUUCAAAAAGCAGCAAAAACAACUUGAAAAGAACUAUCGCACAAUGACUCGCUUAAACACAGGAUUCCAAUUUCCUGAUAUACAUGGAAAUGCUGAUAUUGCUUUAACUAUAUUGUCUCUUUGUAAUGUGUAACAUCAUUUUUACUUAGGUUUGCCAAAUGACCGGCUUUUACAGAGUAGAAUAUAGUCCCAAACAUAUACAGUUCAGUUCUUUUACUGCUUUCUUCUUCAUAAAAGCCGGACGUCUUGCAACCCUUGAAUUUCCCCUUCUUUUUGUUUGCAUAAAUUACAUAAUUCUCUUAAUUAUAAAUACUCCAAAUCCGAUUUUCGAACAGCGUAUUUUAAAAUCUAAAGAAAUAUAAGCGAUUAAAGAUUACAUUUUGCAAGCCAACUGGAUGCUUAAACAACUCAAAAGACAGCCACGCGCUCAUUAUAGCUCUCUUAUAGUUUUAGAAUCUGAGUGAGUUACUGUUUUGAAUAUCUAAAAUCUUCAAAUUAAGUUUUUAUGAUUUUAAGUUAAAUUAGACUUAAGAAUAUGUGUAAGAAUUGAGAAUAAAUAUUUACUUUUUAUUUUAGAAAUGAACACACAAGAAAAUUUAAACGACGAUGAUGGUGACUUUUUUAGAAAUGCGCAGGAGAUAGUGGCAGAAGAGACAGAGUCUUUUCUGCCUUAUUUGAAAGAAUUCUUAGAUAAUCAAAGUUAGCAUUUUCUAUUUUUUCUUUUUUACUUCAGUUUUUUCGAAGUUUAUGUUACAGUAUAUAAAUUUAUGAACUAAU